Molecule: long non-coding RNA, 569 nt
Filed under: Ursus americanus (American black bear)
Lineage: Eukaryota; Metazoa; Chordata; Mammalia; Carnivora; Ursidae
Description: lncRNA (ENSUAMG00000008763.1)
Source: RNAcentral
CGACUGAAGGGCUCGGGGUACAGCACCACGAACCCAGACAACCCGACCCCGGGCUCGCGACCGCAGCCAACCCGGAAGUGCCGGCCCGGUCGCGCAUGCUCGCUCCGCCUCCCGCGCGCUCCUCCGUCACGUGGGACAGCGUGCGGCCGCUCCCGGAAGUCCCCCGGGAAACGCGAGCCCCGGGGCCGCGGGUUCCGCCCGGCAGCGCUCCGCCGUCUGGGCGCGCGUGGACUCGGGUGAAAUCUGUCUGUCUGCCGUCGUGGGCGCUCGCGGAGGACGCACUGCGCGUGGCUCCUCGACUACGUGGCGCGGGGCUCCCGGGCGGGCCGGCACGUCGGGCGCGCUGGGCGAGCGGGGCCGGAGGGGGAUGGAGGAGAAUUCCCACCCGCCUGCGAGGGCUGAGAUCCACGCGCUCUGCCGCGCUCGCUGGAGGGCCGGCGUGCGGGUGGUGUCCUCGCCGGACAGCUCGUUUGCUGCAGAGCUCGGAGUCCUGCGUGCCACGGAAGCCGGGAAGCGGGAAGAUUUCUGUUAGUUCAGCAGUCCAGGGGUGUCAGCCAGCAUCUCUGUAA